This 397-nucleotide ribosomal RNA is filed under the name uncultured bacterium. RNAcentral describes it as "bacterial SSU rRNA". It matches the Rfam family "Bacterial small subunit ribosomal RNA", at positions 29 to 428 of the family's 1533-position model. The record is from RNAcentral.
AACGAACGCUGGCGGCAUGCCUUACACAUGCAAGUCGAACGGCAGCACGGGAGCAAUCCUGGUGGCGAGUGGCGAACGGGUGAGUAAUAUAUCGGAACGUGCCCAGUCGUGGGGAUAACGUAGCGAAAGUUACGCUAAUACCGCAUACGAUCUAAGGAUGAAAGCGGGGGAUCGCAAGACCUCGCGCGAUUGGAGCGGCCGAUAUCAGAUUAGGUAGUUGGUGAGGUAAAGGCUCACCAAGCCAACGAUCUGUAGCUGGUCUGAGAGGACGACCAGCCACACUGGGACUGAGACACGGCCCAGACUCCUACGGGAGGCAGCAGUGGGGAAUUUUGGACAAUGGGCGCAAGCCUGAUCCAGCAAUGCCGCGUGCAGGAUGAAGGCCUUCGGGUUGGUU